Molecule: ribosomal RNA, 427 nt
Filed under: uncultured bacterium
Lineage: Bacteria
Description: bacterial SSU rRNA
Rfam family: Bacterial small subunit ribosomal RNA
Source: RNAcentral
GGGCCCGCACAAGCGGUGGAGCAUGUGGCUUAAUUCGAGGCAACGCGAAGAACCUUACCUGGUCUUGACAUGCCCGUCAUAGUUUUCCGAAAGGAAUUCGUCAGUUCGGCUGGACGGUGCACAGGUGCUGCAUGGCUGUCGUCAGCUCGUGUCGUGAGAUGUUCGGUUAAGUCCGGCAACGAGCGCAACCCUCGUUCCUAGUUGCCAGCGGGUAAUGCCGGGGACUCUAGGAAGACAAACCUCGUGUAGAGGUGGGAAGGUGGGGACGACGUCAAGUCAGUAUGGCCCUUACGACCAGGGCUGCACACGUGCUACAAUGCUUGGUACAAUGGGAUGCAACACCGCGAGGUUGAGCUAAUCCACAAAACCAAGCCCAGUUCGGAUUGGAGUCUGCAACUCGACUCCAUGAAGUUGGAAUCGCUAGUAA